Molecule: ribosomal RNA, 427 nt
Filed under: uncultured Psychrobacter sp.
Lineage: Bacteria; Pseudomonadati; Pseudomonadota; Gammaproteobacteria; Moraxellales; Moraxellaceae
Description: bacterial SSU rRNA
Rfam family: Bacterial small subunit ribosomal RNA
Source: RNAcentral
AGUGGGGAAUAUUGGACAAUGGGGGAAACCCUGAUCCAGCCAUGCCGCGUGUGUGAAGAAGGCCUUUUGGUUGUAAAGCACUUUAAGCAGUGAAGAAGACUCUGUGGUUAAUACCCACAGACGAUGACAUUAGCUGCAGAAUAAGCACCGGCUAACUCUGUGCCAGCAGCCGCGGUAAUACAGAGGGUGCAAGCGUUAAUCGGAAUUACUGGGCGUAAAGCGAGCGUAGGUGGCUUGAUAAGUCAGAUGUGAAAUCCCCGGGCUUAACCUGGGAACUGCAUCUGAAACUGUUAGGCUAGAGUAGGUGAGAGGAAGGUAGAAUUCCAGGUGUAGCGGUGAAAUGCGUAGAGAUCUGGAGGAAUACCGAUGGCGAAGGCAGCCUUCUGGCAUCAUACUGACACUGAGGCUCGAAAGCGUGGGUAGCAAA